GGGACAGUGGCUUAAUUUGACUCAACGCGGGAAAUCUUACCGGGUCCGGAUGCACUGAGGAUUGACAGACAGGCCAUAGAACAGCUGUAUGUAUACAAUUGUUAUUAUUUGAAUAAUACAAUUAGGAGCGCCGCUUCUGCGUCGUGUGUAAACUGUUCUAAGGCUUCAUACACAGGCACUAUCUCUCAUGAUUAUGUUGCAGGUGGUGCAUGGCCGUUGUUAGUUCGUGGAGUAAUCUGUCUGCUUAAUUGCGUUUCGUACAAGUACUCACUCAAUCCUGGACGUAUCUCAAUUAUAUGUGGCGGUGUCUGUCAUGGAAAGCAGCCUACGUUGUUUCAUACGUGCAGCUGUGUCGCCUCUGAGUUAUUGUCAUUUGGAGAGUACGUGAAUGCAACGAACGUGACCGUAGUGUUUUAGUUUGCAUUUCAAACAAGUGACAUUCAUUUGACACGGUUUGUAUUCCGGCUACGUAUCAUCCCAGUGCAUAACCAUAACCAUUGCAACUAUACAUACCACUGCUUUCUUUUCUCUAACCAGGGGAAGGUUGCGGCAAUAACAGGUCUGGUGAUGC
This 571-nucleotide ribosomal RNA is filed under the name Globorotalia ungulata. Its description in RNAcentral is "SSU rRNA". It matches the Rfam family "Eukaryotic small subunit ribosomal RNA", at positions 1185 to 1470 of the family's 1831-position model. Lineage: Eukaryota; Foraminifera; Rotaliida; Globorotaliidae. The record is from RNAcentral.